RNAcentral lists this ribosomal RNA (301 nucleotides) under uncultured bacterium. RNAcentral describes it as "partial 16S ribosomal RNA". It matches the Rfam family "Bacterial small subunit ribosomal RNA", at positions 509 to 809 of the family's 1533-position model. The record is from RNAcentral.
CAGUAGCCGCGGUAACACGUAGGGUGCAAGCGUUAAUCGGAAUUACUGGGCGUAAAGCGUGCGCAGGCGGUUAUAUAAGACAGAUGUGAAAUCCCCGGGCUCAACCUGGGAACUGCAUUUGUGACUGUAUAGCUAGAGUACGGCAGAGGGGGAUGGAAUUCCGCGUGUAGCAGUGAAAUGCGUAGAUAUGCGGAGGAACACCGAUGGCGAAGGCAAUCCCCUGGGCCUGUACUGACGCUCAUGCACGAAAGCGUGGGGAGCAAACAGGAUUAGAUACACCUGUAGUCCCUGUCUCUUAUAA